Long non-coding RNA from Aplysia californica (California sea hare), 2345 nucleotides. RefSeq lists it as uncharacterized. The record is from RefSeq and is a predicted model, not a curated record. The transcript has 5 exons. Lineage: Eukaryota; Metazoa; Mollusca; Gastropoda; Aplysiida; Aplysiidae.
UCUCUGUCUGUCUGUCUGUCUGUCUGUCUGUCUGUCUGUCUGUCUGUCUGUCUGUCUCUCUCUUUCUCUCUGCCUUCCCAUGUUCAUGUAUCUCUCUGUCAUUUCAACUUUGCCAUUUUCGACCAGGCCUAGAUCUAUAUAGUAUAUGUGCAUUUUACUGCUUGAAAAGCGCAGUUAAAAGUCACCCCGGCCUCUUUUGAAAUUACCCAGUCCUUGCCUGCAUGGGACAGCCUGCAAAAAAGCCCCCGAGAUAUCUUGCUUUGAUCGUCAAACAAAUGCUCAGACACGUUUUAAUGUUAUUAAAUCUGAUUAUAUAGCUAUAUUUUGUUUCAUUACGUUCAAGUAUUUAGUUACUUGAUGUUUAUCUUAUUAGGUAGUUCGGUUGUACCAGCCACGCACCCGCUUCUGACCGUGCGCGAUCGCCGUUGCCCGGGGAUCGAUACGUAUGCAUUUUAUUAUUACGCUAGCCUAUUACAGUUUAGCCUCUCAAUAACGACCUUCGAUAUAACGACAUCCUCUGUAGACAUGGAGCCCAGGUCCAGAUAUUUCCUAUACUAUAUAUAUCGUUAGUAAUUUUGGGUUGCCUCUCUAUGACGACAACUCUUUAUAACGACAUUUUCUUCUAGUCCCGACAUAGCCCGAUGUGCCAUUAUAGAGAGGCUGCACUGUAUAGCGAUAGCGAUGUGCCAUUAUAGAGAGGCUGCACUGUAUAGCGAUAGCGGCUUUAGUUCACGUCCAGGUGGGCCUUCUUGUUUGAAAGGCCAUUGAAAGGAGAGAGAGCGCUCUAGGCCUACAUCUUCACAACAAUGGUGUUUAUGUUUCGUGACGAUCGAUUGAGUGUUUCCAGUAGGGCCGAAGUAGCCUAGUCGCACAUCGGCGGUCGUCCGCCCCCGGGCUUCCCCGGUUCGCCUCACAGCCACGUGGUGUUCGUUUGGCCAAUUGGACAGGAGUACCCUAUUUUGAAGGGUCAUUUUUGCGUCAUAUCCGGUCAAUCCAAUCCAUUUUUAAAAGGCGCGGAGUUCCAGAGUUCCAGAUCGGAGUCGUAGAGAUAGAUCAAGAUUUAUGAAUGUUUGAAUUGUUUGCGUGACCGUCAGACGUCGGGUUUGUGAGCAGUAUCGAGUUGAAGUUCAAGAUUCUCUUCUAUUCAUGUGGCAGAUGCACAGUGUACAGAGACAACCUGAUCCUCAUUGAUGUCCAAUUCCCCCCCCCCCCCCCCCCCCCCCCAUUUUUAUGAGCAGUGAAGCAGUCGACUCUAUGAUUCCUUAUUCCUGUGGAUACACAGACUGAGACAGCCUGACUGAGGUCCAAUUUAUUCUUAUAAUCAGUGAAGCAGUCGACUCUACGGGUGGAUUUUGACAAGAUAGACGGGACAAGCAUUGGUGGGGAUGCUGCCUCUUCGGACACUGCAACACACAAAAUGACUACUGGAGUGCAAUUUGGAAACCAAUUGAUGCAGAAAUGUACAGUGGUCUGUGUGCCACAAUGAUUCAUCUUGGAAAAGGGAGGAAGCCAGACCCUCUGGAUGUUCCUGCUACCAACAAGAUUUUCGUAAUGCGUCACUUAGUUGGAGAACAAGGGAAAAUGAAAAGGAGUGGUUUCAGAAACUUUUUUCAAAACUCAUCUUUGACACCAUUUGUGUGGUCAGGAAGGUGUGAAUAUGGUGCAGAAAACACUGACUCUGGAAAGUGACAUUCUGUGUGGAUUUUUGCUGAGGCCACUGAAAGUGAACUGUGUCUUUUUUCCUGGAUGCUUGUGACAUUGACUGAACAAUGAAUAUUUUUAACCCCUUGUACUUGUUUAAUUAAGUUGGAAAUGAAAGCUUGACGUACGAAAAUGUUAUAGAUCUCAUUCAUUAUUUGUCCAAAGAGAGGCAGAUAGAUAAUGAGGUUAGUUUUUUGUACCUGUGUGGGUCAAAUUAAUUUGCAAUGUCUGCAUCAUAGUUGCAAAACUCAGAUCUUUUGUUUAUUGAAUACAACCAUAAUUUGCUAAAGGACACAAAAAAGAAAAAUAGUACAACUCCAACUGUUCAGGAGCUUUUAUCAAAGAAAAUUUUUAUGAACACAAACACAAUUGACGAACAGGCCGCUACUUCGAAAACAUAACUACACAACCCCCCUGAUAUUGUUAACGCAAAUAUUAAGACAUGUCCAAAGCUGGUAAUUGAAUGCACUGAAUGCUGCCCGAUAAAAUAAAAUCUUUAGAGUCUCCUCAGUAGGAUGGAGCAGGUAAAUGCUUUUCUCCAGAAUGAAAAAGGAAAAAUUGAGCUGCGGAUGGUGAAAUGAAAGAACAAGAAGAAUGAAUGAAAAUCAGAUAGGAGUUAUAUCAAGCUGUCACAGAAAAUGAAA